GUUCUCCAGGAAUACCGAAAGGCUGCCUCAUAGUACCACGGACAAGCCGUUGCGGCUUACCUACACCACGUUGGUACUACAAUGCCACCAGCGGGACUUGCCGACCCGUUAUGUGGGGAGGAUGUGGAUACAAAGUAAACAUAUUUAAAUCAUCCAGGGAAUGCGAGGGAAGAUGUGGUCGUGCUUAUCGACCGCACGCUGACCGUUGCCUUGAGGUUCCACAAAAACAAAACUGCAGCAACAGCAAGGCUUCAGUCUUGAUGUGGAGCUUUCAGAUGAAUACAAUGACCUGCACUGCUACGUAUUAUAACGGCUGCGAUGGAAACAAGAAUCUCUACAGGACCUGUAAGGUGUGCUAUACGGAAUGCUUGCUUCACACGCUGAAAUUACCAUACUGCCCCGAUAAUCCACCAAGAAGGCAACCCAGCCCACAACGACCGGCAGAAGUUAUACAGAAAAGACCAAAGCUUUAAAAGCCAAUAAAUUCUUUCGCACUGUUACUCCUUACUGCUGAAUAAACUGCAGCCUAAAAGUGGCCAUAUGUAAGCAUGGUAACUUGAACUGCUUUAAUGAACCGGAAAGAGCUGGCUGCCUAAUAAAAGUGGAUAAUGAAAAGUAGUUCGUGGGAAAAUUUUUCAAAGAAUUAAAACUUGUCGAAUAAUGUAUGCCACUGGAGCCAAA
Rhipicephalus sanguineus (brown dog tick) is the source of this 681-nucleotide long non-coding RNA. RefSeq lists it as uncharacterized. The record is from RefSeq and is a predicted model, not a curated record. The transcript has 3 exons. NCBI's taxonomy places the organism in Eukaryota, Metazoa, Arthropoda, Arachnida, Ixodida, Ixodidae.